Molecule: long non-coding RNA, 1419 nt
Organism: Canis lupus familiaris (dog)
Lineage: Eukaryota; Metazoa; Chordata; Mammalia; Carnivora; Canidae
Exons: 3
Source: RefSeq, a predicted model, not a curated record
UUUGUGGCAAGAGGUCUGCUAGCUGGCAGUCACCUUUCAGAGACAUUCCAAAAGACCUUUCCAAGGAGCCUGGAGACGUAUCUCCUGCCUUCUCACCCCAUCCUUACUGUACACGGGGGAGCCAAGGGCUCUGAGGUUGGAAUGGGGCAGGAGAACAGGACACGGGGUAGAAGGUGCCCGACUAAAUUGUUUUUUUUUUUUUUCUUUUGUUUUUUUUUUUCCGACUAAAUUGUUAAAUAAAUUACGGUUACUCCACAUAAUGGCAUAUUAUGCUGCCAUUAACAGUAAUGUUUUCAAGGAAUAAUGACACAGCUCCGAUUCACAGCAGUGGGAGGCAAAGCGAGAGAAAAGCAGAGGAAGGAAAAAAAAAAUCCAAACAAAACACCAGGCGUUCCUCUCAGCUCUCAGGCAAUGGCCUGGCCCUAAACCCCACUUCCUUUCCCUGCAAGCUGCCCCGUCUCUCUCCUCUUGAAGGAAAACCAGCAUGGCCCUGGCCAUUCCCUGGCACCUCCUGUUUCUCUUGGAGACCCUCCUGCCUCUCUACUCCCCGGUGGCCCCCAGAGCCAGCCACGGACGUGCUCCAGGGGCAAGGAGCCUUCCCCACCAUUGCUGCUUCGUCCUCAUGGCAGGGACGGGAGCCACUGGUGCCAGACCCAGUGGUGCACGUGAGACUGGCCCAGACACUAUCAGCAGCGACGGGCCCUGGUGAAAGCCACUGGCAGCUGAGAUUGGGCCACAGAUCUCCUGUCCGGUUUGUCUACUUGCUGGGCACAUGGCCAGAGUGCGAUAGCCACCUAUGGAAGCACCUUCUGUUGCCCAGAGUGGCUCUACUCCCAGCAAACCGGUUCGUGUGCAGAGUCCCCAGGACACUUUUCAGAGUUUCACCGCUUGCAGAUGCUCUCCCUGGAACACCUGUCUCCACUUUCUUCUUGGCCCAUUCCAAACCCUGUCCAUCCUUCAAAGCUUCAGGAAGCCUCUAGGACCUCCCCGCCCCCAAUCACCUCUGUCCCUUCCAAAGUCAAUCAGGAACUGUCAUUUUUAGCGCCUGCUGCAUUGCCUUGUCGGCUCUCUUAUUAUGUGACUGCGUCCUACCUCUGCAUCGAAUUAGAGGCUCUUAGAUAGGAGUGCAGGAGCAAUCCCUCCUCAUGCUCUUCAGCAUCCUGUGCAAGGAUAGCGUGAUGCCUUUCACCCCAUUCUGUGCUCAGUCUGAAUCAGGGAGAACAGGGGAGAGGGGAAGUAGCGAGGGUGCUGAGGUGCUUUUCUCAGCGACCAGUCUGCCCUUAAACAUGGUUUGAACUAACAGGCGUGGCUCGAGGAUUUGCCACAACUGACGGAGGGAGUGAAGAAGGGAGUGAACUGUUUGGGAAGGCCCCUGGCUGUUGUCCAUCUUCAACCCACUGGGGAAAGAGAAAAUGCCAC